Molecule: ribosomal RNA, 273 nt
Filed under: uncultured prokaryote
Description: partial 16S ribosomal RNA
Rfam family: Bacterial small subunit ribosomal RNA
Source: RNAcentral
CGUAGGGUGCGAGCGUUGUCCGGAAUUAUUGGGCGUAAAGAGCUUGUAGGCGGUUAGUCGCGUCGGAAGUGAAAACUCGGGCCUUAAUCCCGAGCUUGCUUCCGAUACGGGCUGACUAGAGGAAGGUAGGGGAGAAUGGAAUUCCUGGUGGAGCGGUGGAAUGCGCAGAUAUUAGGAGGAACACCGGUGGCGAAGGCGGCUAUCUGGACAGUAACUGACGCUGAGGCGCGAAAGCGUGGGGAGCAAACAGGAUUAGAUACCCUGGUAGUCCCU